GACGAACGCUGGCGGCGUGCCUAAUACAUGCAAGUUGAGCGCUGAAGGUUGGUACUUGUACCAACUGGAUGAGCAGCGAACGGGUGAGUAACGCGUGGGGAAUCUGCCUUUGAGCGGGGGACAACAUUUGGAAACGAAUGCUAAUACCGCAUAAAAACUUUAAACACAAGUUUUAAGUUUGAAAGAUGCAAUUGCAUCACUCAAAGAUGAUCCCGCGUUGUAUUAGCUAGUUGGUGAGGUAAAGGCUCACCAAGGCGAUGAUACAUAGCCGACCUGAGAGGGUGGUCGGCCACAUUGGGAAUGAGACACGGCCCAAACUCCUACGGGAGGGAGCAGUAGGGAAUCUUCGGCAAUGGACGGAAGUCUGACCGAACAACGCCGCGUGAGGGAAGAAGGUUUUCGGAUCGUAAAACUCUGUUGGUAGGGAAGAACGUUGGUGAGAGUGGAAAGCUCAUCAAGUGACGGUAACUACCCAGAAAGGGACGGCUAACUACGUG
RNAcentral lists this ribosomal RNA (497 nucleotides) under uncultured bacterium. Its description in RNAcentral is "partial 16S ribosomal RNA". It matches the Rfam family "Bacterial small subunit ribosomal RNA", at positions 28 to 507 of the family's 1533-position model. The record is from RNAcentral.